GUGUAGCUCAGUGGCAGAGCACUUGCCUAGCAUGCAUGAGACCCUGGGCUCUAUCCCCAGCAC
This 63-nucleotide transfer RNA is filed under the name Marmota marmota marmota (Alpine marmot). It matches the Rfam family "tRNA", at positions 5 to 66 of the family's 71-position model. Rfam says of the family: Transfer RNA (tRNA) molecules are approximately 80 nucleotides in length. Their secondary structure includes four short double-helical elements and three loops (D, anti-codon, and T loops). The record is from Rfam by way of RNAcentral. Lineage: Eukaryota; Metazoa; Chordata; Mammalia; Rodentia; Sciuridae. RNAcentral also lists the same sequence under 3 other names.